AUACGGAGGGGGUUAGCGUUGUUCGGAAUUACUGGGCGUAAAGCGCACGUAGGCGGAUUGAUUAGUUAGAGGUGAAAUCCCAGGGCUCAACCCUGGAACUGCCUUUAAUACUGUCAGUCUAGAGAUCGAGAGAGGGGAGUGGAAUUCCUAGUGUAGAGGUGAAAUUCGUAGAUAUUAGGAGGAACACCAGUGGCGAAGGCGGCUCACUGGCUCGAUACUGACGCUGAGGUGCGAAAGCGUGGGGAGCAAACAGGAUUAGAAACCCUGGUAGUCC
RNAcentral lists this ribosomal RNA (274 nucleotides) under uncultured bacterium. RNAcentral describes it as "partial 16S ribosomal RNA". It matches the Rfam family "Bacterial small subunit ribosomal RNA", at positions 523 to 796 of the family's 1533-position model. The record is from RNAcentral.